Molecule: long non-coding RNA, 1651 nt
Organism: Quercus lobata
Lineage: Eukaryota; Viridiplantae; Streptophyta; Magnoliopsida; Fagales; Fagaceae
Exons: 2
Source: RefSeq, a predicted model, not a curated record
CUCUAGAAUUAGCACAACCCCCUCCUUGGAUCCAUACGGUUCUCUCCCUCUUCUUAUGCUCUUCUCUUGCUUAUUCUUCUAUUCUUGUUUUCUCCACCUCAUGGCCGACCCAUUGCAAGCCCCCUCUACUCACAACUACCCAUUAUCACCACUUAAAGUAACCUAAACCACACUAGCACCACGCCAUUUUAAUGGAGGCAGCAAGUGUUUUCUCCUUAGUUGCUGAAAUGGUUGUGUGAAGGUUUCGAGAUUCUUGGUGAUGGACCUAGUGACUUGAUUGGUUGAUUUUGUGAUGCCUGAUUGAGGUAAAAUUGGAUUGGACUUCCGAGGUACGUGGCUUCUUAAUGAGAUUUUCUUGAAAUAAAAAGAAUCAUUAUUGCACUCAAACAUUUUUUAUGGUUAAACCCAUUUUGAAACAUUAAUCAUGGUUUUCCUAAAGCAUACUAUGUGUACUAUUAUUGUUAUUUAAGAAAUUAUGGAAAACGCAUGAAACCUUGAAAGGUGCAUCAUAAUUGUCAAUGCAUAUGGGGAAAUGCAUGAUUUGUUAGCAUGGAAAAGAUAAGUAUCUUUGAUAUAUUUCUUGGAAAUGGAUUUUAUAGAUUUGUUGCAUUAUUUGCAAAUUCUAAAGAUGUUUUAUCUUGACUAUAGAAAAUCUUAUUGACAAGAAAUGAUUUUGGAUAAUUUGAGAACUUUGUCAAAUGCUUGGAUAUUAAAAGGUUUUAUGAAACUACUUGGAAACAAAUUACAAGUUUCAAUUUCAUUUAAUUGUGAGCUUUAUGUUGUUUUUACCCUUGUGCCAUGAUAGGUGUGAUUACCUAGCCAAAUGUCACAGUCUUUGUGACAUUGGAAUCUUGGCACCUUGUCUUUGUGGCAGAUUGAUGUUUUUGUGGCAUAAUUAAUGUCUUCAUGGCAUAUUUGAUGUCUUUGUGGCAUAUUUGAUGUCUCCGUGGCAUAACUUGAUGUCUUCAUGGCAUAAUUGAUUUCUUUGUGGCAUACUUAAUGUCUUUAUGAUGGCUUGUCAUGUGGCCUUGGUUUGGAUUUUUAAGUUUUUGAAAUAGUGUUUUGAUAGCUCAUAGUAUAUAGUAUGUAGUUUCAUGUUGAGAUAUUUUGAGAAAGCUUUGUGCUGCAUCGUUUCAAUUAUUCUUGUUUUUUCACCAAUGAAAAUGAAUUUGUUGGACUUUCACGGAAAUUCUCAAAUUAUAACAUGUUUUGUAAAAUGUUCAUUAUCAUGAAACUUGCAUUUCCCCCACUCUGAUUAAUUAUGCUAUUUACUAGGCUUUAGCUCAUCCCACUCUCCAAUAGUUUUUUAGAUUAAUUUGCUAUACCUUGGGCAUGAAGCUUGUUUUAUUGGUGGUGAUUGGAGUAUUAUGCUAUAAUUGGUUUGUGACUCAACUUACUAAAUUUAUUGAGGCCAUAGCUAAUUCUAUUUAAGAUUGGUCUUUUGAGGCUAGUUAGCAUUGUGUGUGGCAGGCUUAGAUUUGAUGUUGAGGUUGCGUAUUCUAGAAAGGAUUGUGGUUUUGUGUUAUCCAUUUGGAGCUUUGAAAUAUAUUCAUGUAUCAUUUGGAGGCACAUGAUUUUAGUUAUUGUUUGUAAAUGUGUUAUAGAGCUUUGACUUGUAAUGUGGAGAUUUUAAUAUAGUUAUUUAUUCUUA